RNAcentral lists this ribosomal RNA (257 nucleotides) under uncultured bacterium. Its description in RNAcentral is "partial 16S ribosomal RNA". It matches the Rfam family "Bacterial small subunit ribosomal RNA", at positions 793 to 1055 of the family's 1533-position model. The record is from RNAcentral.
GUCCACACGGUAAACGAUGGAUACUCGCUGUUGGCGAUAUACUGUCAGCGGCUUAGCGAAAGCGUUAAGUAUCCCACCUGGGGAGUACGCCGGCAACGGUGAAACUCAAAGGAAUUGACGGGGGCCCGCACAAGCGGAGGAACAUGUGGUUUAAUUCGAUGAUACGCGAGGAACCUUACCCGGGCUUAAAUUGCAAAGGAAUUGCGUGGAAACAUGCAAGUCUUCGGACCUUUGUGAAGGUGCUGCAUGGUUGUCGU